GUUUUGUUCUCUAAUGGGCAAGUGAUGAUGCCACAAGGUUCAUUCUAUAGAAGUUUAAGCUUUUAUUAACUUGUAUACCCUGUCUAUGCCUGACCGUGCUCCUUUGAGCAAAUAUUGUCUCUUAUUUUUUGGGUUAUGUAUCUGGUUCCUGUAUCUCUUGCUAGUACAAUUAGAUCUUAAGUUCAUGAAAUAGCAAAAACUAUUUCAAAUUGGGCAGGACUGGGAAAUGCUUGCUGUUCUUCCAGUUUAAAAGGUUGAGCAGAAACAGCUAU
RNAcentral lists this unclassified non-coding RNA (272 nucleotides) under Hevea brasiliensis (rubber tree). Lineage: Eukaryota; Viridiplantae; Streptophyta; Magnoliopsida; Malpighiales; Euphorbiaceae. The record is from RNAcentral.